UCUGGGAGCGGCCGAUGUCGGAUUAGCUAGUUGGUGGGGUAAAGGCCUACCAAGGCGACGAUCCGUAGCGGGUCUGAGAGGAUGAUCCGCCACACUGGGACUGAGACACGGCCCAGACUCCUACGGGAGGCAGCAGUGGGGAAUUUUGGACAAUGGGCGGAAGCCUGAUCCAGCCAUGCCGCGUGAGUGAAGAAGGCCUUCGGGUUGUAAAGCUCUUUCGGCGGGGAAGAAAAUGC
RNAcentral lists this ribosomal RNA (236 nucleotides) under uncultured bacterium. RNAcentral describes it as "partial 16S ribosomal RNA". It matches the Rfam family "Bacterial small subunit ribosomal RNA", at positions 219 to 454 of the family's 1533-position model. The record is from RNAcentral.